CCCGACUGCGGCGGCUUAAACAUGCAAGUCGAGCGCCCCGCAGGGGAGCGGCAGACGGGUGAGUAACGCGUGGGAACGUACCUUUUGCUACGGAAUAACUCAGGGAAACUUGUGCUAAUACCGUAUGUGCCCUUCGGGGGAAAGAUUUAUCGGCAAAGGAUCGGCCCGCGUUGGAUUAGCUAGUUGGUGAGGUAAAGGCUCACCAAGGCGACGAUCCAUAGCUGGUCUGAGAGGAUGAUCAACCACACUGGGACUGAGACACGGCCCAGACUCCUACGGGAGGCAGCAGUGGGGAAUAUUGGACAAUGGGCGCAAGCCUGAUCCAGCCAUGCCGCGUGAGUGAUGAAGGCCCUAGGGUUGUAAAGCUCUUUCACCGGUGAAGAUAAUGACGGUAACCGGAGAAGAAGCCCCGGCUAACUUCGUGCCAACCGCCGCGGGAAUACAACACCUGCACAAUAACCACCGGAUAACUACGUGCCAGCCGCCGCGGUAAUACA
This 497-nucleotide ribosomal RNA is filed under the name Brucella cytisi. RNAcentral describes it as "bacterial SSU rRNA". The stretch from base 8 to 453 matches the Rfam family "Bacterial small subunit ribosomal RNA", at positions 39 to 536 of the family's 1533-position model. Lineage: Bacteria; Pseudomonadati; Pseudomonadota; Alphaproteobacteria; Hyphomicrobiales; Brucellaceae. The record is from RNAcentral.